Molecule: ribosomal RNA, 254 nt
Filed under: uncultured bacterium
Lineage: Bacteria
Description: partial 16S ribosomal RNA
Rfam family: Bacterial small subunit ribosomal RNA
Source: RNAcentral
UACGGAGGGUGCAAGCGUUAAUCGGAAUUACUGGGCGUAAAGCGCACGCAGGCGGUUUGUUAAGUCAGAUGUGAAAUCCCCGGGCUCAACCUGGGAACUGCAUUUGAAACUGGCAAGCUAGAGUCUCGUAGAGGGGGGUAGAAUUCCAGGUGUGGCGGUGAAAUGCGUAGAGAUCUGGAGGAAUACCGGUGGCGAAGGCGGCCCCCCUGAACGAAGACUGGCGCUCAGGUGCGAAAGCGUGGAGAGCAAACAGG